Molecule: non-coding RNA, 29 nt
Filed under: Mus musculus (house mouse)
Lineage: Eukaryota; Metazoa; Chordata; Mammalia; Rodentia; Muridae
Source: RNAcentral
UACAAUAUUGACUUGUUAUCUGGGUGUGA